GAUGAAGAACGCAGCGAAAUGCGAUAAGUAAUGCGAAUUGCAGAAUUCAGUGAGUCAUCGAAUCUUUGAACGCACAUUGCGCCCUGUGGUACUCCGCAGGGCAUGCCUGUUCGAGCGUCAUUUCAACCCUCAAGCCUCGCUUGGUGUUGGGCCCUGCCCGCCGCGGCCGGCCCUAAAGAUAGUGGCGGCGCCGCCUGGCCCUCAGCGUAGUACAGCUCUCGCUCCAGGGUCCGGCGGCAGCCUGCCAGAACCCCCCAACUCUGUGGUUGACCUCGGAUCAGGUAGGGAUACCCGCUGAACUUAAGCAUAUCAAUAAGCGGAGGA
Molecule: unclassified non-coding RNA, 324 nt
Filed under: soil metagenome
Description: partial contains 5.8S ribosomal RNA, internal transcribed spacer 2, and large subunit ribosomal RNA
Rfam family: 5.8S ribosomal RNA (bases 1-120)
Source: RNAcentral